AACGAACGUUAGCGGCGCGCCUAACACAUGCAAGUCGAGCGAGAAAGGGCUUCGGCCCCGGUAAAGCGGCGCACGGGUGAGUAACACGUGGAUAACCUACCCCUUGGUGGUGGAUAACCUUCCGAAAGGAGGGCUAAUACAGCGUAAGACCACGACUUCGAAAGAGGUUGGGGUAAAAGUGGGCCUCUGUACACAAGCUCACGCCAGGGGGAUGGGUCCGCGGCCCAUCAGCUAGUUGGUAGGGUAACGGCCUACCAAGGCGAAGACGGGUAGCUGGUCUGAGAGGAUGAUCAGCCACACUGGAACUGAGACACGGUCCAGACUCCUACGGGAGGCAGCAGUGGGGAAUCUUGCGCAAUGGGCGCAAGCCUGAUCCAGCAAUGCCGCGUGCAGGAAGAAGGCCUUCGGUUGUAACUAGCUUUGUCUAGGGAA
This 432-nucleotide ribosomal RNA is filed under the name uncultured bacterium. Its description in RNAcentral is "bacterial SSU rRNA". It matches the Rfam family "Bacterial small subunit ribosomal RNA", at positions 29 to 446 of the family's 1533-position model. The record is from RNAcentral.